Molecule: ribosomal RNA, 405 nt
Filed under: Bacillota bacterium
Lineage: Bacteria; Bacillati; Bacillota
Description: Firmicutes bacterium partial 16S ribosomal RNA
Rfam family: Bacterial small subunit ribosomal RNA
Source: RNAcentral
UCGGGAAUAUUGCCCAAUGGCCGAAAGGCUGAGGCAGCAACGCCGCGUGCGGGAUGACGGCCUUCGGGUUGUAAACCGCUUUUCGGGCGGACGAGGAAGGACGGUACGCCCGGAAUAAGGUGCGGCUAACUACGUGCCAGCAGCCGCGGUAAAACGUAGGCACCAAGCGUUAUCCGGAUUUACUGGGCGUAAAGCGCGGUCAGGCGGCCGACCAAGUCGGGCAUGAAAGCGCACGGCUCAACCGUGCGAGGCUGUCCGAUACUGGCCGGCUUGAGGGCAGGAGAGGGUGGUGGAAUUCCGGGUGUAGUGGUGAAAUGCGUAGAGAUCCGGAGGAACACCAGUGGCGAAGGCGGCAACCUGGCCUGCCCCUGACGCUGCCCCGCGACAGCUCGGGGAGCGAACGGG